AUUGAACGCUGGCGGCAUGCCUUACACAUGCAAGUCGAACGGCAGCAUGGAGAGCUUGCUCUCUGAUGGCGAGUGGCGAACGGGUGAGUAAUGCAUCGGAACGUACCGUGUAAUGGGGGAUAACGUAGCGAAAGUUACGCUAAUACCGCAUACGACCUGAGGGUGAAAGCAGGGGAUCGCAAGACCUUGCGUUAUACGAGCGGCCGAUGUCAGAUUAGCUAGUUGGUGAGGUGAAGGCUCACCAAGGCGACGAUCUGUAGCGGGUCUGAGAGGAUGAUCCGCCACACGGGGACUGAGACACGGCCCAGACUCCUACGGGAGGCAGCAGUGGGGAAUUUUGGACAAUGGGGGCAACCCUGAUCCAGCCAUGCCGCGUGAGUGAAGAAGGCCUUCGGGUUGUAAAGCUCUUUCGGCCGGGAAGAAAUCGCACAGGCUAAUACUCUGUGUGGAUGACGGUACCGGCAUAAGAAGCACCGGCUAACUACGUGCCAGCAGCCGCCGUAA
Molecule: ribosomal RNA, 504 nt
Filed under: uncultured bacterium
Lineage: Bacteria
Description: partial 16S ribosomal RNA
Rfam family: Bacterial small subunit ribosomal RNA
Source: RNAcentral